This 253-nucleotide ribosomal RNA is filed under the name uncultured bacterium. RNAcentral describes it as "partial 16S ribosomal RNA". It matches the Rfam family "Bacterial small subunit ribosomal RNA", at positions 524 to 776 of the family's 1533-position model. The record is from RNAcentral.
UACGUAGGGUGCAAGCGUUAUCCGGAAUUAUUGGGCGUAAAGAGCUCGUAGGCGGUUUGUCGCGUCUGCUGUGAAAACUGGAGGCUCAACCUCCAGCCUGCAGUGGGUACGGGCAGACUAGAGUGCGGUAGGGGAGAUUGGAAUUCCUGGUGUAGCGGUGGAAUGCGCAGAUAUCAGGAGGAACACCGAUGGCGAAGGGCAGAUCUCUGGGCCGUAACUGACGCUGAGGAGCGAAAGCAUGGGAGCGAACAGG